GCGCCCUUAGCGCAGCUGGAUAGAGUGGCUGACUACGAAUCAGAAGGUUGAAGGUUCACAUCCUUCAGGGCGCA
This 74-nucleotide transfer RNA is filed under the name Lactobacillus crispatus. RNAcentral's name for it is "tRNA-Arg". It matches the Rfam family "tRNA". Rfam says of the family: Transfer RNA (tRNA) molecules are approximately 80 nucleotides in length. Their secondary structure includes four short double-helical elements and three loops (D, anti-codon, and T loops). Lineage: Bacteria; Bacillati; Bacillota; Bacilli; Lactobacillales; Lactobacillaceae. The record is from RNAcentral.